This 20462-nucleotide long non-coding RNA is filed under the name Citrus x clementina. Its description in RNAcentral is "Citrus clementina (C. clementina) long non-coding RNA (CCLE_LNC002484)". The record is from RNAcentral. Lineage: Eukaryota; Viridiplantae; Streptophyta; Magnoliopsida; Sapindales; Rutaceae.
UCAAAUUUUAGUAUCAAUAUAUAUCAUCUUCUUUACUGUUCUGCCUCUAAAUAUUAAACUUUAAUCAAGUUGUUUUUGUUUGUGUAAGUUAUCAGGUUAAGGAUACUAAGCCGCUUAUUAAGGCAAAUGUCAGAAUGAAGAUUGCUCACCACACCUGGUAUGCAUGAUGGUCAGGAAGAUUAAUUGUUCACAAGCCAAUUUGAUCAGUGUUAGAUUUUUUGCCUCCUUUCGAGGGACAUCAUCAUCAAAUUUGAGUAGAGAAUCUUUGAAGGAAUUUUGUUGAAAGAGUUUCACAGUAGUGAAUUCUGGGAGCUCGAACUCACUUGAGUGAGAUAUUAGGGAGUGUUGGGGAUUUGGGUUAUGAGUAAUCAUUAUCCUUCCAAUAUGUGUAAGCACUCACUUGUUAGUAAAAUCAUCUUCGUAUAUUGACUAUGUUUCUUUGUUAUCAGGUAGAGUGUGAUCUUCAAGGGUUUGAGAAAGUCCUUGCAGUAAAGUUUCCACCACAAGCAAUUGCUGCGAAGAGGCAUAUACAUUUGAGAAGUUCAGUUUCAGAUUUUCUAGGCGUGUAUGUUUAAUUAGUUUCGAUUAUAAUAUUUAGUCACUCAUUCUGAAUCUUUUCUAAUUUUCAAGUUCCUUAGGGCCACGACCUGUUUUUCAAGUCUGCAUGUGGCUGCAAAAAGAUUGAUGGUCAUAAAAUUAUCUUGACCCUUGAGCCAUUGCGUUUGAGCACAAACAGAAACAGAGCUAAAGGAAAAGAAUUUGACGCAAGAAGAUGCUCUGAAUAUAACAAAAGUAUAUUUCUACUUCUUGUGGUUAUUUACUUUUGUUUCUCCUGUCAGCAUAUUUGAUUAAUUCGUUCGAAUUCACACUCUCACACAUUAUUUAAAACCAUUUGUAGGUGGCUUGCAAGCUAAUUAAGUUAAUGCAGAAGCAAUACUCUAGACAAAGAUGAGCAAAUUGAAGGUGAUAAAUGCAUAUAUGGCGGCCAAAUCGCUUAUUAUAUUUCAUCUCUCAAUCUAAUAUGAUUCUGAAUUUUAAUUUCCAUGAAUAAUUGUUAGGCUGGUACAGAUGUUCUUAAAAGGGCCAUUAAACUACCUUAUGAAAUUGGAAAGUUGCUAUUGCUUGAAUGAAAGCACCAUCUUCUGUUACCAAGGCAUUCCCCACAUGAUGAGAUUAUGUGAUUGUUACCGGCUUCUUAAUUAUUUGUUAAAUCAGGUUUUUCUUAUCAAGUACAUCAUCUUAUUCACCAUUUUGGCUAUAUCAGAAUCUGCUAAUUCCAUGAUGUCAAAGCAAGCUCAAGCACUAGAUCCCUAAUAAUAAUGCAUUGCAUUUUCAUUUUAUUUUUAGGUUGACUUUUAAGACCCUAUGGAGAACAUUGGGGUAAUCAAGGAUUAGGCUGGUGAUGGAACUACUUCCACUGUGGUGUUGUGUGCAACGUUCAGUUGCUGGACUUUGAAGAAGAAAGUGAUGGCCAGGUCUGCUCUGUUUCAAUUCAGGAUGGAUAGCUGCCUGGAAGGCAUGAUGAUUAUUAUUGCAUGAUAUUAAGGUACUAAGAUCAUCAUUUCUGUCUUGUUUUUUUCUUUGAUCGGUUUAUCCUCUAUAAGCAAAUUCAAUUAUGCUAAUAUUACCCUUUUUUCACCCAAUUUUCACUGUUGGUUGUAAUAACAAUUUCAGGUAUUCAAAAGCUACAGAGCAAAGCACAUGUGGGCUGAUCACAUGCUUCCAUGGAGGAAGGAAUUCGGUAUUGACACUAUUAUGCAGGUAACCGCAGUUGUUAAUUUACACAAAUUUGCAUUGUCAGAAUGCCCUUUAAUAUUCACUGUGUUUCUUUUUGUUACUCAGGUUACCAUGGUAGAUAGAGUAUCAUCUUCGAGAGUUUGUAAGAGCCUUUGCAGUAAAGUUACCUGCUCGAGCAAUUUUACAUUCAUCGAGUACAAUUUUGGAUUUUCAAGGUUUGUAUGUUUAGUUGCGAUUAGCAGGCUUAGUCACUCAUUCCUAAUCUUUUCUGAUUUUCAGGUUAUUUAGGUCCAUUAACAGUUUUCACACAUGUUUCAAUGCUAGUUGUAAUAACAAUUUCUUAUCUUGCACCUCUAAGGUGCAUCACGUUUGAAACAGCUUUUGCGGUAAAGUUUCAAUGCUUGUACAAUGGCCGUGAAGAGGUACAUUUAAUUCGGUACGUUUUGGUGCGGUCUUCUAAUGCUAAUAUCAUGUUGUGUAUAUUUAGUUUGCAAUUAAAACUUAGGUAUACAAUCUUAAUCUCCAAUAAAUCAUUGUGUACAAAGUUUUCUAUUAAUUAUAUGGUGACUGAAAGUUUAAUUAUCUUAAAAUUUUUUGUAACUCUCUUUUACUUUGCUUGUACAGAGUACCUGUUUUGGCUGACAUGUCUAAUUAGUAGAAAUUCAUUUCCAUGGGUUUCCAUUGGUUUGAGCACAUACAGAAACAGAGCUUUACUUCUUGAGGUGUUAUGCCUUUGUCUCUUCAUUCACCAUAUUUGUUCGAUUACGUUGUCUCAUUAAGAAUUUAAAGCCUUUUUCUAGGCAGCUUUGUGGCCAAUUUUUUAUGCCAUCAAUGCAUGAUUGUCAUUUAGAUUUUCCAAAUAAUUGUUAGGUGGGGAAGAUAUUGUUAAAAGGGCAUUUAAUUAGCUACGUCCCCUAUGAAUUUAGUUGCCAAUAUUACAUUGAAAUUGAGAAGGAUCAUAGUUGAGGAAAGUUAUUGUCUUAAUUAAAUUACAGGUGAUAAGAUGUUGCUUGAAUUCAGCAUCUUGUAUUGCGAUGAUUUUGCCCACAUGAGGUUCUGUGAUUCUUGACAUCAGGAUAACUCAGGUCAAUUUUUUUGUAUCAGCAUAUAUCAUCUUCUUUACUGUUUUGCCUUUAAAGAAUAAACUUUAGUAAAGUUGUUCUUGUUUGUGUAUGUUAUCAGGUUAAGGAUACUAAGCAGCUUAUUAAGGCAAAUGUCAGAAUGAAGAUUGUUCACCACACCUGGCAUGUAUGAUGGCAAGGAAGAUUAAUUCUUCACAAGCCAAUUUGAUGAGUGUUAGACAUUUUCAGAUUUUUGGCUUUAUAUAUUAUUAGAGCUCUCCCAAUAACUGCAAGCUUUCAUUUGUUUGUAAAAUCAUCUUCUUAUAUUGAUUGUGUUUCCUUGUGUUAUCAGGUAGAGUAUCAUCUUCAAGGGUUUCAAAAAGUCUUUGCAGUAAAGUUUCAACCAAUUGCUGUGAAGAGGCAUAUUCAUUUGAGUAAUUCAGUUUCAGAUUUUCAGGGCGUGUAUGUUUAAUUAGUUUUGAUUAAAAUAUUUAGUCACUCAUUCUGAAUCUUUUCUAAUUUUCAAGUUCCUUAUGGCCACAACCAGUUUUUCAGGUCCGUAGGAACUAUCUUGAGCGUUGAGGAAUUGCGUUUGAGCACACACAGAAACAAGGCUAAUGGAAAAGAACUUGACAGAAGAAUUAUGCUCUAAAUCUAACAAAAGUAUAUUUCUACUUCUUUUGGUUAUUUUACUUUUGUGUUUUCUGUCAUCAUAUUUGAUUGAUUCGUUCGAAUUCAGACUCUUUCUCAUCAUUUAAAACCAUUUUCAGGUGGCUUGCACGCUAAUUAAGUUAACGCAGAAGCAAUACUCUAGACAAAGAUGAGCAAAUUGAAGAUGAUAAAUGCAUAUAUAGUGGCCAAGUCGCUCUUUACAUUUCAUCUCUCAUACGAACAUGAUUUUGAAUUUGAAUUUCCAUGAAUAAUUGUCAGGCUGGUGUAGAUAUUCUUAAAAGGGCAUUAAGCUACCUUAUGAAAUUGGAAAGUAAUUUUGUAAUCAUUUCUGUGCAAUCAAGAAUGUAAUUUUGUAAUUAUUCAACUCUGCUUCCGCGAACAUGCGGUAUCUUGCAGAUUUUUUUCUCCCUUUUUCUUUCUGCGUUAAAACUGCAACAAAUGGAAGUGACUGGCUUGAUUUUAGCUCCUGUAAAAAAGUGCUUGGGGCAAUGUCUUUUGUAUCAGCAAGUUAUCAAACAUCAUAGUUUAAAUAUAGAAUCCUGAGUUGCUAUCGAAAAUUCCAGGUCUUUCACCUCUCAGUUUCUUAAAAGCUACAAAGCUUGAUAUAUAUUGACAAAGCAAACCGUCUGUGGGCUGAAAUGCUUCCACGGAUCAGGAAGGAAUUUCGUGUUGACACUAUAUGUUAUGCGGAUAACUACAGUUGAUAGUUUUUACCCAAAAUAUGUCAGAGUUGACAAUUCACUUACAGUGUUUCCUUGUGUUACCAGGCCCUCAUGUGUGAAUUGAAAGAUUAAGAAAGAUUGAUUCUUACUGACUUAUGCAAUUGAAGAUUAUGAAAAAGCAUUUGCACUAAAGUUCCCAGCUUGUUUAAUUGCUGUGAAGAGGCACAUUCAUUCUGAGUACUUGAGUUUUAGAUUUCCAAGAUGUGUAAUUUUAGUUGCCAUUGAAAUAUGUAGUGGCUCAUUCUUAAAAAUCUGUUCUAAUUUUCCUGUUAUUUUGGGCCAUAAACAGUUAAAAAGUCUGCAUGUGGUUUCUAAAGAUUGAUGGUUAUGAUAAAUAUUGUGAGGUAUGAAAUAUUAGUUUGCUAUAAAUAUGUGUACAAAAUGUUUCUAUUACAUGGGGACUGAAAUUGUAACUUGCAGGGUCAAAAGAAAUCCUAAUUUGCGUAAGUGUCUGCAUUUGUGUACAAAGGAAAAAUAAGAAAUUCUGCUACAUGGGGACCGAAAUUUUAAUUGGCAGGGUCUUCAUCAAAUGUUUGUUAUCAAUACUGAUCCCGGAAUGUGUGGAACACGGUGAAAAGUUUUUCAUAGUUUUGCGAAGAAGGCUGAUUUAUCUGAUUCAUAGAAUUGUGAAAAGGGCAUCGGGCGGGGGACAAAAGAAGUGUUGAAAUUGAAAAGGUUAAUGGUUGAAGCAUGCAGUGUUGCAAUUAAGUUAUUAUUGUCUUGAAAUAACAGGAGAUGAUCAGAUGCUGCUUAAUGCAUGCAGUUUCUGUUGCAAUUGUAUUGGCCUGGGUUUAGGGAACUGUCAGAACUUUCAGAAGAAGAUGGAGUUUCUCAAACCAAAUAUAAGAAGAUAUCUCACAUUCCCCACAUGGUCUCAAUGCACAGGUAAGUUCUUCUCUAGCUCUGUUUUUCAUUGUUUUUUAUUUUUAAUGUAAAUAAGGAGCAGAGUUAAUCUCUUAUGUUGACCUUGCUUUGAGAAAACUGCUUUUACAUGUAUUUUUAAUUCAGAUGUCCACAAUAAUUUCAUUUUAGUUUGAGCUAAGUGAUAACUGUUGAAGGCUCACUCACUCAUUGGGAGAAGCUCCAUGACGCAGGCUGCUGGGAUUAGCUAGUGCAAUUGCUGUGAAGAGGCACAUUCAUUGGGAGAAAUUAAAUUUUAGAUUUUCUUAGUGUGUAUGUUUGGCUGCGAUUAAAAUGAUUUCUCUCGUUGUUAAUGAUUUCUGAUUAUCCCGUUCUUUAUGGCCAUAAACAGUUUUCCACGGGCUGCAUGUGGCGGCAAAAGAUUCAUGUUGAUAAGGCUAAUGCUAAGUUACAUGCAUGUAACUUAGGGAGAUCCUGUUGAUAAUUAUAUCUUGUGGUAUGUGUGUUGCAUUUGAGCACAUGCAGAAACAGAGCUGAAGGAAAAGCAAUUGACCCUAGAAGAUGUUGCAAAUAUAACAGAAGUAUAUUUCUACUUGCGGUCAAUUUACAUUUGUUUCUUGUGUCAUCCUAUCUCAUUCAUCAUUUUGGACAGAGUUUGGAAAAAAAAAAUUAUACGUAAAUCACUUUCCAAUGGUUCAGUGAUUUUUGAUUGGUUGUAAAAUGUUGAACCUCUUUUCAGAUUUCCAAAUAACUGUUAGAUUGGAGAAGAAUAAGAAGAUAUUAUUAAAAGGAUAUUUAAUUAGCGCUCUCUGAAUUUAGUUGCCAAUAAUGCAUUGAAAUAGUUGGGGAAAGUUAUUAUCUUAAUUAAAUUACAGGUGAUAAGAUGCUGCUUCAAUUUUGCAAGCAUCUCGUAUUGUGAAGAUUUUGCCCACAUGAGAUGUCGUGAUUCUUCUGCUUCAAUACAGGUCAAAUUUUAGUAUCAAUAUAUAUCUUCUUCUUUACUGUUCUGCCUCUAAAUAUUAAACUUUAGGCAAGUUGUUUUUGUUUGUGUAAGUUAUCAGGUUAAGGAUUCUAAGCAGCUUAAUCAAAUUUGACUAGAGAAUCUUUGAAUAGAAUUUUGUUGUGAGAGUUUCACUGUAGUGAAUUUUGGGAGCUUGAACUCACUUGAGUGAGAUAAUAGAGUGUAUUGGAGAUUUGGGUUAUGAGUAAUCGUUAUCCUUCCAAUAUUUGCAAGCUCUCACUUGUUAGUAAAAUCAUCUUCGUAUAUUGACUCUGUUUCUUUAUUGCCAGGAAAGUGUGAUCUUCAAGGGUUUGAGGAAGUCUUUGCAGUAAACUUUCCACCACGAGCAAUUGCUGCGAAGAGGCAUAUACAUUUGAGUAAUUUAGUUUCGGAUUUACAAGGCGUGUAUAUUAAAUUAGUUUCAAGUUCCUUAGGGACACUACAGUGUUUCAAGGCCGCAUAUGGCUGCAAAAGAUUGAUGGUCAUAAAAUUAUCUUGAGCCUUGAGGCAUUGUGUUUGAACACACACAGAAACAGAGCUAAAGGAAAAGAAGACAGUAGAAGAUGCUCUAAAUAUAACAAAAGUAUAUUUAGAGCAUUUAAUUAGCUACGUCCCCUAUGAAUUUAGUUGCCAAUAAUAACUUGAGUGUCGAGGAAUUGCGUUUGAGCACACACAGAAACAAGGCUAAUGGAAAAGAACUUGACAGAAGAAUUAUGCUCUAAAUAUAACAAAAGUAUAUUUCUACGUCUUGUGGCUGUUUUGCUUUUGUUUCUUCUGUCAUCAUAUUUGAUUAAUUCGUUCGAAUUCACACUCUCACACAUAUUUAAAACCAUAUGUAGGUGGCUUGCAAGCUUGCUAAGUUUACGCAAAAACAAUACUCUAGGCAAAGAUGAGCAAAUUAAAGGUGAUAAAUGCAAAUCGAAUUUCCAUGAAUAAUUGUUAGGCUGGUGCUGAUAUCCUAAAAGGGCAUUAAGCUACCUUAUGGAAUUGGAAAGUUAUUAUGCUUCAAAGCAAGCAGCGUCUUCUGUUGCGAAGGCUUUCCCCACAUGAUGAGAUGCUGUGAUUGUUACCAGCCCCGUAUUUAUUAACUCAGGUCAGUAUUAUCAACUACAUUAUCAUUUUGGCUAUAUAUAAAGAUUAAAAUUUUGAACACUUGUCUCGGUUUCUUGUGUAAUCAGGCUACUAGAGCAAAUGUUUACUGUCUAAGCACUAAUGCGACAAUCCCAUCUGUAAAUUUGGGCCAUCUUUGAUGUCUGACAGGUUAGCUGUGACAAUCCCAUCUGUAAGUACUAAAGCGCCUGGUUAUGGUGCUUUCAUUGGACUAUAUGCAAACGUGAGAUAUCAGCUAUUGUGUGGAUUUGAUAGAGCGGUCACCAACCAUUUUGAUGUUAUUGGAGUAGCACUGUUCUUAAGCACGGCUUUGAGGUCUCUCCGUCUCUCUUUUACGUAUUUGUCUAUUGAUCGACAUCUCUAAAUAUACAUUGAUAGACCAAAUUACUCUUGUUUUAAUGUUUUGUUUGUUGAACUUUGACUGGGUUAUUUGUUUAUUUGUCUCAUAUGAUGUUAAUGCGGUUCCUAUAAAAGUGGAUAUAGAUCUAUCACCUCAAAGUCUGAUUUCAAUUUUCCUUUACUUAAUCAACUAGCAUCCUUUCCAAGUCCAGAUACUUACCAAUAGUGAGACUUUGCUACGGAAGUACAAUUUCUCUUGUUUUACAGUUAAGUAUGUAAGAAUAGUUUCAAAUUUACAGAAUUCUGAUAUAGUUCUCUAAGGAAAUGCGGGUGGUGAAUAUGGUUCCAACUUUUAAUAGGCUUUAAUAGGCCCAUUUGUUCAGCCACAGUGAUUGCGGUCUAAAUUCUUCUUUACUGUCUAUAUGUGUUGGAGUUUGUCUAUUGUCCAACUUCUCCAAUGGAUUCCAUGCAGGGUUUUGAUGGUCUAAUUAGGAGAAAGAUCAACGGAUGACCUUUUGAAGAAGGCUUACACAACAGCCCAUCUCAGGAUGUCAUGGCUCAGCUCAAAAGUCCCCAGGUGGUUGAUACCAAAGAGUGCCAUUGUUUCUGGGCUUGGGCUCCUUGGCGUCAAACAAGAUAGUCCGGAGUAAGGUGACUGCAUAAAUUUCUUGGAGUUAAUGUAGUCAAUUGCCCAAUUUUGGUGCCUGUCGAAGAGACACAGCAUGGAAGUCGUCAUCAAACUCUGAGACACCUAAGAACUAGUAGGAGGUGGUGGUAUUCACCUGGUGUCUAAAUACUAUAUGUGAUACAACGUUGCAUAUUCCAAUUUUUCUCCAGUUAAAUUCUAGUGAGUUAGGAAAUUUAAUUUUGUUUUAGCUAUGAAUUAUUUCCUAGAUAAUAAUAAUUGCCAUGUUCCUUUAGAGUCUUAUUUACUCCAACUUUAGGAAAUUCUAGUGAGUUAGGAAAUUCUAGUUAGGAAAUUAUGUACCAUCAACCAGUUUUUUCUAACUUUUUUAAAAAUACACUAUUCUUAUUUGACUGACUUGAUUUUACUGACAUAAUUUUCUCCCAUUUCUAUAUUAUCGACGUUGAGUGCAUCUAAUCCACAAGUCUGAUUGAGCCAAAAGUCUAAUGACAAUCACGUCCAAAGAUGCCGUUAUCACAAAGCCCUGGAUAAUUAAAGAGGUCAUUGUUCGAAAGAAAGAAUGAUUUGUUGGUAUGAAAUUACGUUAAAAUGAAUAUAUCACUUUUUUUUUUUGGCGUGAGUGAUGGCUUCGUUUAAUGACAGUUGGCAGACAAUGAGUCAUCUUUUAAUUUUAGUUUUGAUUUAUUAUAAAAUAUUAAUUUUUGUAGUUUCAGUAGAUGAAAUUUCGAAUCAAAUAUUAAUAUCGUUAAAGUACGCAACUCAAUAUUUGCUUAAAUCAUAAAAAAAAUAAUUGCUUUACAUUAAAAAAAAUAACAAGUGAUCACUUGAUUUAACUUCCUUUACUAAAUUUACGAUUUAAAAUCCAAAAUAGAAAAACGAAAACAAUUUUUGAAAUCACACUCGAAGUUUUAAAUUGACAUGAAAAAAGAGCUUAUUAUUGAUUAUCUUUUUCCUAAAAUUUAAGGUAAGAUAACAAUAUGUCCAAAAUACCCUCCGCAUUAUCCCAAAACUUUAUAAACUCCCCCGUUCCUCUGAACAUCAUCUCUUCCAAAUCUUUCUCCCCCAAAAAACCAGCCAUGGCUUCAUAUUCAAUUACCGCAACACUCCAAUAUUUGCUAUAAACCACCCCCAAAUCCUCAACUUCACAUGGACUCAGAACCAAACACUAGCUUCCUCCCCACACUUCCUCAUUCUCUCCAUCCUCACUUACCUCUCCCUCACAUUCAUCCUCUACCACACAUCAACAUCAACAUCACGACCAUCAUCACCUUUCAUUGGACCCCACAUCCUCAAGCCCAUCACAGCCGUCCAUAACCUCACCCUCCUCCUCCUGUCCCUCAUCAUGGCCGUUGGUUGCACUCUCUCCAUCAUCCUCCAUUUACCCCACCUCCAUUGCACCCUCUGUUUCCCCCCUACCAUUUCUCCGUCUGGCCCCCUCUUCUUCUACCCUUACAUCUUCUACCUCUCCAAAAUACUCCAAUUCUUAGACACCCUUUUGAUCAUUUUGUCAAACUCCGUCCAACGGCUCACGUUCCUCCACGUCUACCACCAUGCAACCGUCGUCGUUAUGUGCUUCCUUUGGUUACAGACGAAGCAGUCUUUAGCUUCUUCCCAAAUUCAUCAAUGAACCCCAAAACCAGUCUAAUCAUUAAAAUUAUUAACAACCAUUUGCUUGGAUCAAUGUACACUUGGCAUGUCUAUGGGCUUACUUGGAAUGGUCGCUGAUGGCCAUGGGCUUGCUUGGAUUGGCCGGGUACAGCCAUGGGCUUGCUUGGAAUGCCCGUACCCAGCUGCCAUGGUUUUGCUAGCGUAUCCAUGGGUUUUGUUGGACAUGGCAGUGCGAGGCCAUGGGUGUUGCCGGGCAAUGGACAUGGGUUUUGCUGGGCUGAUUUGGAAUUAACGGUGGCUAUGGAGUUGUAAGUGUGUGAAAGAGAAAAAAAAAAUGAACGAAGAAGAAGAUGAACAGGGAAUAGAACGAAGAAGAUGAAGAAAGUAGAAGAGAGGGAAAAAAUAUUUUACUUUUUUUAUAAAUUUUCCGAUUUUUAUUUCAAAAUUUAAAAUUUUUGUUUAAAUUCGAGAAUCUUAAGGGUAAGAUUUUCUUUGUAUCUAUGUGUAGAAGGAGGUUUUUAGAUGGUUUUUGGUUGGGCUAACAUAAAAUAUGCUUGUUUUAUGAAAUAUUAUUAUUGAGGUUUUGUUUUAUUUUCUAAAAAAUAGAUUAGAGGAUGAUUUUCAUUAAUGACACACAUAAAGUUUGAAUUAGUUAUAUUUUAGAAAUAGUACGGAUAUAAGUGAUAUAUCUUUCCAACAUAAAUAUAUCAGUAACAUAAGUUAUUCUAUAAUUAACAGGGGUAUUAUCGUAUUUUAGUGAGUCAAUAUUUUUUUUAUUUUGUAUCAAUAUUGGUUGAUAGUUAAAUUUAACAGAUUUUAGAGAGUAAAUUGAAGUUUUUAUUUUUUAUUUUUGAGUAAAUUAAAAUAUGUCAAUAUUGGUUGAUAGUUAAAUUUAACAGAUUUUAGAGAGUAAAUUGAAGUUUUUAUUUUUUAUUUUUGAGUAAAUUAAAUUGAAGUAUUUCGGUUCUACCCGAAAUACUUCUUUGUAUUGAAAUCAAUGAUGAUUGCUUGUUUAAAUAAUGAAAGUUGAAAUAAUUUUGUAAAUAAUUUCAUUCUUUAAUUUACGGUAUACAAAUAAAUUCAAAAAAUGUUAAUUUCUCUCAUACUAAUUUUAGGACUCAAAAAAUAACAAAAAGUCUUAACAUAUUUAAUGGUUAUAUAUAAAUCAUCCGUACGUAUUUUAUUUAAGCUAAUAGAGUAAGAAGUCCCAAAUACAUGUACAUCAAUUCGAUAGACAAUGCUCCCCUUAAUUUUCUUUUCUAAUUAGAUAAAAGAACAAGAGAAAUUGAUUACAAUAAUUCACGGCGAAGUCACCUUGGUCUACCUGAUAUAUAUUACAGAGGUUAGCUUCUUUUUAAUGCCAAACUUGAAUAACAAACAUUAAUUUACUUCUUAAAGGGUAAAAACCUCAAUUUGUCCUUAUAUUUGUUCAAAAGAUACAUUUUGUCUUCUUAAUAUAAACAAGUUAAAUUGAUGUUUCACAUCUUUUAGAAAUAAAUUAAAGAUUGUUAUUUUAAGUAGGAGGUAAAUUUCAAAUAAAACAUGUGUUCAUAUGAUAGAUGUGCAUUUUACAAUAAUUAAUAAACAAAAGGGUAGUGAUAUUUUCAACCUGUAAUUUUUGUAAAUCCACCCCCACUCCCAAGAAAUAAUUACAAUAAAUUCACAUAACUUUUUUAAAACUCAAAUAAAGAAAAAUUUUGGAGAUUUAAACUAUUGUAUACAAGAGGAUAAGAGUAAAUAUUUUUCAUGCAGUAUAAAAAGAAUGCGACAGCUCCUUUUCUUUCGGUAUUUUCACAACAAAAGCACACUUAAUAACUCAUCAAAUUAUUUCUCCUUUUCUUUGAUCGCUUCCCCUCUCCUGGAGCUGCUGAACUCCUUUGUUGCUGAUGAAGGGAACAAGUGAGGCUUUUCAAAAGAGGGCAAAGAGAUGGUGAUUCGAUUUGAUUCGAUAAUAGUAGUUUAUUUUAAUUGUUAUUCAUUUGAUUUCAUAGAAGUAAUUUUUAUUUUCAUUUUUUGUUGAAAAUUGGUAAAAACGAACUAAAAUGAGAUAAUUACAUUAAAACAAUCUUCAAUGACUAAAGUAAUUUGAAAAAAUAAAAAUAAAAAUAAACAAGCUCAAAAUUUACCCCUAAUCCGAACAUUAUCCGAAUUCAGCCUAAUUGACCCAAAUCUAAUUGUAAUCCAAACUUGACAUGACCCGCAUAUAAUUAUAACUCGAUCAGAUCCAAACUCGACCUGAAUUUUUAAUUCAAUACGAUCCAAUCCAAAUAUUCCAAUCCCAUCAAAUUGAAACUUGAUCGGGUUGAUCCGAACCCGAAUUUGCCACUUCCGGAGGAGACCAUGACCCUAAAGGCUUUGAAAUAAUCUUUGCGGUUUCUUAAUGAAAUAUUAAAAGUUAUGUGCAAAAAGACUGAUUUGACCCUAGAAUACAUGAUAUAUAAAUUUCAGACAUUAUAUUCUGUGAAAUAAAGUCAAAGUAAACUGGUCGUUUGAUUUUUUUAUUAAUUAUUUUCCAUUAAGACAAAAUGACAAAUAGACUUUUUUAAAAGUUUAAUAAAGUUUGGGCCUAACUCCUUGAUUUUUAUUUUUUAAUUAUUUUUCAUUUUGUUUUUUACUUGCAACAUUAGCUUUAAUUAUCAAUCAGUCUCCAAAUCAAAAUGACUGAAACCUGUAGCUACAAGCAAAAUUCUCAAAUUUUGAAAUUUCUAACGACUACAUAAUAGUAAUAAAUAGAAAAAUCAUCUAAAAUUGAUCCUCCUUCAGAGGCAGAUUAAAUUCUUAGUAAUUUCAUAUAAUUUCAUUUCAUCAGAACAAUUUUCCAAAAGCAAUUUUAUAAAUGGUUGUCGAAAGCUUUAUCCCUUAAUUAUAUUUUAGUUAUUUUCUUUGUGAUAUGAGGCGUGUCCAUAGACCAUAGUAUGAUAUUUAUUGUAAUUAAAAUCAUUAUGGAACUGAUUUUAUUCUUUUUUCUCAAACAAAGUAUCUAACUGCAGAUGUAAUAAAUUACUAAUUGCCAUUAUUUGAGUCGCGCUCUUUGAAUUAGAUCUUGGAGUUUCAAAUGACCAAAUGAAUUAGUAAGAUAAUGGCUUAUCGUUCCAAGAGCUAUGCUAAGAAAAAGCAGGGAUGAUCAGAACAAAUUCUGUUCAUUGCAAUUGACAGAGAUGUUUUCAGUUGCCUAGACUUCGUAUUUUCAGUUUUAGUAAUACAUGUCGUUUUUCACCACAUUUGUUUAGUCUCUCCCUUUUAAAUCCCCUCACACACAAAAAAUUAGGAUUUGUAUUUUGUAAACUAAUAUUUUUCAUUUUGUUAAUGUAUUAAUUAUUAUUAUCUACAUUUAUGUGAUAGGGCACAUGCCACAUCAACUAAAAUUAAGUUAUAAAAUUUUGCAGCCCCUGAGCACUCAAUGUUUGUUGGCACAAGUUCAAGUCCCACCAUUUGUUAGGAUUUAAAUAAAGAACAUUAUAACCAUGCGUCCAAGAACUUAAAGUUAGCUUAAGUGCAUGGAUUUUCGAGUCCUAGUUAUUGUUGGAAUUCGAUUUCCUUUCUAAUUAAAUUGGGUAGGGGUAAAAUUAUCUCUCAAUUAAUAAGGACAAAGUAGAUAUCUCUCUCGAUUUUCCUCCCAAUUAAAUUAGUUAGAAGUAAAAUUAUCUCUCGAUUAAUAAGAGUAGAAUAAAUAUCUCUCUAGUAUUAUGCAAGGGUAGAAAUUUGGGCUGUACCAUGUUAGAAUUAUCAAGGAUAGUUUUGAUAGAAUUCUAAUUGUAAUAUAUGAGUGUAUAAAAAAAAUGAACAUCAAUGAAAGAUGUUUAGGUAAGGACUAUCUUGGAAUGGAAUUUUGAUUGUAAUAUAUCAGUAUAUAAAAAAAAUUAUGAAAAAUGUUUAACAAGGACUAUUUUGAUAUUUUAAUGAGUAGUAAAAAUUAAUGUUAAAAUUUGAUAAACGAGUGUAUAGUAAGAUGUUCAAAGUGUUAGAACAUAUAUAAAUAAUCCUAGCUCUAAUAAAAUUUUGCUACAUAAUUAGUUUAUCCCUUAAAGAAACAUAUCAAAAAAAUAUACAAAAACACAAUGCAUGAGUACAUGUCAAUCACAAAUGAAAGCAAUUAAGAUAAAGAAUAUGAUUUAUUUUAUUUUAUUUUAGUUAUUUUUUUAAUUAUUUUUUGUUUCUUUUGAAACAAGACCAAUUAGAUCAUGCAAGAAGUAAUUUUUUUUUUAAAAUAAAAAAAAGGAGAAAUGAUGAAACCCACGUCCAAAGAUGCCGUUGUCGCGGAGGCCUAGAUCUCACUACACCCCAUCCCCUUCUACCAUAUUUUAUAAUUGAAGAGGCCAUUAUUGAAUUGAAAAAUUAUGAUUCAAAAACCCAAAAAUAGAAAAAGAAAAGCAAUUGUUGGAAACACACUCGGAGUUUUAAAUUGACAUGAGAAAAGAAUAUAUUCAUCAACCUCAUACGUUAAUGAUGCGACGAGUUUGAGAUUAUGAGCCAAAUUCCUAACGUGUGGGAAUUUAAAGAUGUUACUACAAAACAUGUGUUCGUCGGUGGAGUAGAAUCAGGGAAAUUAAAGAUGCUACUACAACCACUAACGUGUGGGUGGGGAUAAGCAUAACUUUUUUCAUCAAAUGCCAAAUCCCCCCAGGUGGAGAGUGGGGACUCCUUUGCAUAAAUGUUCAUAAAAUUUUGACUAUGAUGUUAUUAGAAAUUGGGGAAACAUGUGGUGCAAUUGUGGUAUCGUGUCACAGUUACAUCCAGCCGUUGGAUGUCAGUGGACCCUACUCAUGCAAGUGUAUCCAAUGGCUAGAUGCAACUAUGGCACGGUACCACAGUUGCACCGUAGUCGGGUCCUAGAAAUUAAGAUAUUCUCUCUCUACGUAUGUCUACACGAAAUAAUAUGCAAAUAUAAUAUUUUAGUUUAUUAUUAAUAGUUUUACAAUAAUAAAAAUCAUUUUGAUAGACUGAAAAAUGUCGUAUUCACAUUUUAUUUUGUACGGACGUCUGCGAGAAAGAAUAUAUAUAUAUAUAGAGGAACGUGUAUUUAAGAUUUAGCUAGUGUGAAGUUGGGAAACUUUUUUUUUUUUUUGAACCCAGGCUAAAAUUAUUUCAAUAAAUUUUGAUCAUGGAGACUAAUAAGAUUUUUUUAGUUAUAUUUAUUAAUUUUUUAGGGACUAACAUGAAUAUUAAUAAUUUUCUUGAGAUUAUUAAAAAAACAAUGUGCUAUUUUACAUCUAUGACUUUUCCAAUCUUUUUUUCUUUCGUUAUUUAAUCCUUUGUGAAUUUUAGUUAAUGCUUGAUAUUAUUUUUUUGCUCAUUUUUUAAAGUAGUAAUUAAAUCUGAACCCUUACAGUAGAAGAUUAUGAAAAAGUAAAGACACAAAAAUCAUAAAAAUCAUUAGUAGGUCCAAAUUUGUGCUAUUUUCAUACAUAACUUGAGAAUAUUUAUAAUUACGCAUCAGAACUAGUGGAGUAGAAUCAGGGAAAUUAAACAUUCUACAAUCAUUGACGUGUGGGUUGGGGAUAAGCAUAAACCUUUUCUAUGCAGUAUAAAAGAAUGCAAUAACUCCUUUCUUUCAUAUCUUCGCAACAAAAGCACAUCUAAUAACUCUUCAGAAUUCUCGUUUUCUUUGUCACAAUGGUUGAUGCGAUCGUUUCCUCUCUCCUGGAGCAGCUGAGCUCAGUUGCAACUGAUGAACUGAAACAACAGGUGAGGCUUGUUACUGGUGUACGACAAGAAGUGAAAAAGCUUACCAUCAAUCUUGAAGGCAUUCGAGCUGUGCUGGAAGAUGCAGAGAAAAGGCAAAUGCAGCACGACAAAGCUGUUACUCUUUGGCUGGAUCAGCUCAAAGACGCAUCUUACGACAUGGAAGAUGUGUUGGAGGAGUGGACCACCUCAAGGCUCAAAUUGCAGAUUGAGGGCGUUGAUGAUGACAAUGCUCUUGCUCUUGCUCCUCAUAAGAAGAAGGUACGUUCCUUCUUUUGUGCUGUAUCAAACUGCUUUGGUAGUUUCAAACAACUCUGUCUUCGUCAUGACAUUGCUGUCAAGAUUAGGGAAAUCAAUGGAAAGCUAGAUGAUAUUGCCUCCCAAAAAGAUAAGUUUAAAUUUGUGGAGAAUGUGAGUAACAAUGUCAAGAAACCAGAGCGAGUGCGAACCACGUCCUUGAUUGAUGAGGGAGAGGUUUGCGGUAGAGUUGAUGAGAAAAAUGAGCUCUUAAGCAAGUUGUUGUGUGAAAGUAGUGAACAACAAAAAGGCCUUCAUGUCAUCUCACUAGUUGGGUUAGGGGGUAUAGGUAAAACCACUCUUGCACAACUAGCCUAUAAUAAUGAUGAGGUGAAAAGAAAUUUUGAAAAAGUUAUAUGGGUGUGUGUAUCAGACACUUUUGAGGAGAUUAGGGUUGCCAAAGCAAUCAUUGAAGGUCUAGGCGAGUCAGCUUCUAGUUUAAGCGAAUUCCAAUCUCUUAUGAGCCAUAUCCAUAGAUCAAUUGAAGGAAAAAAGUUUUUUCUUGUUUUAGAUGAUGUAUGGGAUGGGGAUUACAAUAAAUGGGAACCAUUCUUCCUUUGUCUAAAGAAUGGUCUGCAAGGAAGUAAAAUUUUGGUUACCCCACGUAAUGAGUUAGUUGCACGUAUGAUGGGAUCAACAAAUAUUAUCUUCAUUAAGCAAUUGGCUGAAGAGGAAUGUUGGUCGUUGUUCAAGCGGUUGGCAUUUUCCAGUCGCUCUUUCGAAGAUUGUGAAAAAUUAGAACCAAUCGGGCGAAAAAUUGCACUGAAGUGCGAAGGCCUGCCUCUUGCUGCAAAGGUAAUAGGGAAUCUCUUGCGCUCUAAAAUUACAGUAAAAGAGUGGCAAAGAAUUUUAGAUAGUGAAAUGUGGAAAGUAGAAGAGAUUGGGCACGGUCUUUUAGCUCCUUUGUUGUUAAGUUAUAACGAUUGGCCCUCUAAUUCUAUGGUAAAACAGUGUUUCUCAUAUUGUGCUGUCUUUCCAAAAGACUACAAUAUGAAGAAAAGGGAAUUGAUUAGUCUAUGGAUGGCUCAAGGUUACCUUAAUGCAGACGAAGACGAAGAAAUGGAGAUGAUUGGAGAAGCGUAUUUCAACAUCUUAGCAACACGCUCUUUCUUUCAAGAGUUUGAAAAAGAUUAUGACGAUGAUGAUAUUAUGAGUUGCAAGAUGCAUGACAUAGUACAUCAUUUUGCUCAAUUUGUAAGUAGCAAAGAAUGUUUGUGGCUAGAAAUUGAUGAUAACAAAGAAUCAGUCAUAAACUCUUUUGGUGACAAAGUCCGUCACUUAGGGUUAAAUUUUGAAGGAGGCGCUUCAUUUCCUAUGUCCUUUUUUGAAUUUGAUAGAUUGCGUAGCCUCUUAAUUUAUGAUGAAAGUCUUUCCAAUCCGUCUCUUAGUAGUAGCAUUCUUUCGGAGUUAUUUAGUAAAUUGGCGUGUUUAAGGGCAUUAUUUAUAAGGCAAUCGUCCUUUCAUUUGCGUACAGAUCCAAAUAAGAUUAGAGAAAUUCCAGAAAAUGUUGGAAAAUUGAUACAUUUAAAAUAUCUUAAUUUAUCUAAAUUAUGCAUAGAGAGACUACCUGAGACUUUGUGUGAAUUAUAUAAUUUACAAAAGCUAGAUAUUAGGGGGUGCGAAUAUCUUAGAGAAUUGCCUGCGGGGAUUGGAAAGUUAAUGAACAUGAGGAGUUUACUGAAUGAUAACACUCGUUCGUUGAAGAACUGCCAAUUCUAGAAGAUCGCAGGACAACAGACAUACCGCGUCUUUCUUCCUUGCGAAUAUGGUUUUGCCCCAAAUUAAAGGUGCUGCCGGAUUACCUCCUUCGAACGACGACGCUGCUGGAAUUGAAUAUUAUGGAAUGUCCUCUUCUAGAAGAACAUUAUAGAGAGGGGAAAGGAGAAGACUGGCAUAAGAUAUCUCACAUUCCCCACAUCCAGAUAUCUCACAUCACGUGGCAUUAGUGGUAAUUUCUCCUCCUCCUCUGAUUUACUUCGUUGUUGCUUGCAAUGAAAUUAAUAAAAAUAAUUAUAUUUUGAAUUAAAAUUUCUAUAUUUAUUUACUUUUAAAAAAUAUGUGCUCUUUUGUAAAAUUUCAAGCAAUGUACGAAAAUUUGUUGUGUGUAACUUCCCGAGAGACAAAAUCUCUGUGAUACAUUUGCAGUAAUGUUGAAAACUAAAUUAUCAAUUUUAUCUUGUAUAAUGAUAAUCUUAUUUUUUUAUAUAUAAUUUAUGUGACAUUAAUUCUUUAAAGUAAUUGUGUAAUUGUUUUUAGUAGUACAUUAGCCCACUUUGUUUUACUUCGUACGAGUUUAAUUAUGUUCACCAGGGAUUCGAGGAAAUGUCAGAACCACACUAGCAAUUCACAGGUCCAAUCUAAUUUCUCUCAUACUUUUUGGGCUAAAAAAUAAAUGUAACUCCAACAUAUUUAUUAUUUAAUGGUUCUAUAUAGAAUCAAUCGUGGUAUAAAUAUGUAAAACUUCCUAGUUAUCAAUUUUGUCUUGCAUAAUGAUAAUCGUUUUUUUUUAUAUAUAAUUUAUGUGACAUUAAUUCUUUAAAGUAAUUGUGGAAUUGUUUUUACUACAUUAGCCCUCUUUGUUUUAUUUCAUACGAGUUUAAUUAUGUUCACCAGGGAUUCGAGGAAAUGUCAGAACCACACUAGCAAUUCACAGGUCCAAUCUAAUUUGGUUUUAAUGAUGCAGGCAGGAGAGUAUGCUAAGAAAAUGAAAAGUUUAGCCAAAGGAUUGCUAAAAUGUUCUGCUGGUAAUUCACUUGCUUUAUUUUAUAGAAUUUCAUUUCCAUCUUCUUCUAUUGAUAUCUUGUUGUGAAUAAACAAGAACAGAGAAGUAAAGAUAUAUCAAAAUUUACUAUUACGAUGAUGCUAAAGCAAGCUCAAGCUCAAGCAUUGCAUUUUUAUUUUAUUUAAUUUAUAGAAUUUUCAUUUCCACCUGCAUUGCAUUUUUAUUUAUUUUUAGGUUGACUUUGAAUACUUCAUGGUGAAAAUGACGAGUACAGCCAAAGGAUUGCUAAAUGUUCUGCUGGUAAUUCACUUGCUUUAUUUUAUAGAAUUUCAUUUCCAUCUUCUUCUAUUGAUAUCUUGUUGUGAACUGUGAAUAAAGAAGAACAGGGAAGUAAAUGAUUGGACCACAGAGAAGUAAAGGUGUAUCAAAAUUCGCUAUUAUGAUGAUGCUAAAGCAAGCUCAAGCACAAGCAUUGCACUUUAUAUUUUAUUUAGUUAAUAGAAUUUUCAUUUCCACCUGCAUUUCAUUUUUAGGUUGACUUUGAAGACUCUAUGGAGAACAUUGGGGUAACCAAGGAUUAUCACUGUGGUUAUUGUGCAACGUUUGGCUGCUGGACUUUGAAGAAGGAAGUGAUGGCCGGGUCUGCUCUGUUUCAAUUGAGGAUGGAUAGCUGCCUGAAAGACAUGAUGAUUAUUAUUGCGUGAUGUUAAGGUGCUGAGAUCAUCAUUGCUAUCUUGUUUCAUUCUUGGAAUCAUUUAUCCUGUAUAAACAUUUGUUUUAACAAAUGUUUCAAUGCAUGCUGUAGUAACAAUUUCAUAUCUUGCAUCUCUCGGGUGCAUCAUGAUCACGGGUUUGAGAAAGCAUUUGUGGUAAAGCAAUUCAAUUCGGUACGUUUGGUGCGGUCUCCUAAUGCUACUACCAUAUUUUGUAUAGCAAUUAAAAUUCAGGUAUACAAUCCUAAUAUGCAAUAAAUCAUUGUGUACAAAGUUAUCUAUUAAUUAUAUGGUAACUGAAAUUUUCAUUAUAAUUUUAAUUAUCAUAUUAAUAUUAAAAUUUUUUGUAACCCUCUUUUACUUUGCUUGUACAGAGUACCUGUUUUGGCUGAUAUGUCUAAUUCGUAGAAAUUCAUUUCCAUCGGUUUCCAUUGGUUUUAGCACAAACAGAAACAGAAAUCUGGGGAAAAGUUUUACUUCUUGUGGUAUUAUGCCUUUAUUUAUUCAUUCAUCAUAUUUGUUCAAAUUCAUGCUCUCAUUCAGAGAGCAGCCUUUUCCAGGCUACUUUGUAGCCAAAUUUUCAUGCCAUCGAUGCAUGAUUGUCAUUUAGAUUUUCCAAAUAAUUGUUAGAUUGAAGAAGAAUAAGAAGAUAUUGUUAAAAGGGCAUUUAAUUAGCACCCUCUGAAUUUAGUUGCCAAUAAUGCAUUGAAAUGGUUGGGGAAAGUUAUUGUCUCAAUUAAAUUACAGGUGAUAAGAUGCUGCUCCAAUUUUGCAAGCAUCUCGUGUUGCGAAGAUUUUGCCCACAUGAGAUGCUAUGAUUUUUGACAUCAGGGUAACACAGGUCAAAUUUUAGCAUCAAUAGAUAUCAUCUUCUUUACUGUUCUGCUCGAAAUAUUAAACUUUAGGCAAGUUGUUUUUGGUUGUGUGAGUUAUCAGGUUAAGGAUACUAAGCAGCUUAUUAAGGCAAAUGUCAGAAUGAAGAUUGCUUACCACACCUGGUAUGCAUGAUGGCCAGGAAGAUUAAUUGUUCACAAGCCAAUUUGAUCAGUGUUAGAUUUUUUUCCUCCUUUCGAGGGACAUCAUCAAAUUUGAGUAGAGAAUCUUUGAAGGGAAUUUUGUUGUCAGAGUUUCACAGUAGUGAAUUCUAGGAGCUCGAACUCACUUGAGUGAGAUAUUAGGGAGUAUUGGGGAUUUGGGUUAUGAGUAAUCAUUAUCCUUCCAAUAUGUGUAAGCACUCACUUGUUAGUAAAAUCAUCUUCGUAUAUUGACUAUGUUUCUUUGUUAUCAGGUAG